RNAcentral lists this ribosomal RNA (459 nucleotides) under uncultured bacterium. RNAcentral's name for it is "partial 16S ribosomal RNA". It matches the Rfam family "Bacterial small subunit ribosomal RNA", at positions 338 to 795 of the family's 1533-position model. The record is from RNAcentral.
CCUACGGGAGGCAGCAGUGAGGAAUAUUGGUCAAUGGGCGGGAGCCUGAACCAGCCAAGCCGCGUGAAGGAAGAAGGCGCUAGGCGUUGUAAACUUCUUUUGUCGGGGAACAAAGGGCGCCACGCGUGGCGUUGUGAGUGUACCAGAAGAAAAAGCAUCGGCUAACUCCGUGCCAGCAGCCGCGGUAAUACGGAGGAUGCGAGCGUUAUCCGGUUUUAUUGGGUUUAAAGGGUGCGUAGGCGGUCCGGAAAGUCAGCGGUAAAAGCCCGGGGCUAAACCCCGGCGAGCCGUUGAAACUGUCGGACUUGAGUCGGCGAGAAGUACGCGGAAUGCGCGGUGUAGCGGUGAAAUGCAUAGAUAUCGCGCAGAACUCCGAUUGCGAAGGCAGCGUACCGGCGCCGAACUGACGCUGAGGCACGAAAGCGUGGGUAUCGAACAGGAUUAGAUACCCUAGUAGUC